This 1764-nucleotide long non-coding RNA is filed under the name Monodelphis domestica (gray short-tailed opossum). RNAcentral's name for it is "lncRNA (ENSMODG00000041129.1)". The record is from RNAcentral. Lineage: Eukaryota; Metazoa; Chordata; Mammalia; Didelphimorphia; Didelphidae.
CUUCUGCUCUAUGAAGCCUCUCACGAGGACAAACCGAAAGGCCUUUUCUCCAUUUUACAUCUCACAUUGGAUUCUCUCUCAAUUUCUUUCUGUCGCUGCCUGCCUUUCCCCCUUCAUUCCUCCCUUCCCAGAUAGACGAAUGGACAGAUAUUAGUGCGCCUCAGUCUUUGGACUCCAAAGCCACCAGAGGGUACAGCGUAGAUGAAACUGCACAGAGACAAUCGUCAUUCUCGGUCACCGAGAGACUACCACCACUUAGUAUUAAGACAUUAGGUGCUUGCCAUGUGUCAAGUAUUCAUCUGUCUGUCUGUCUGUCUGUCUGUCUGUCUAUCUAUCUAUCUAUCUAUCUAUCUAUCUAUCUAUCUAUCUAUCUAUCUGUCUGUCUGUCUAUCUAUCUUUCUAUCUAUCUAUCUAUCUAUCUAUCUAUCUAUUUAUCUAUCUAGCCAUCUCUUUCUCUCUCCAUCCAUCUAUCUUUUCCUUCCUUCCUUCCUCUCUCUUCCUUCCUUCCUUCCUUCCUUCCUUCCUUCCUUCCUUCCUUCCUUCCUUCCUUCCUUCCUUCCUUCCUUCCUUCCUUCCUUCCUUCCUUCCUUCCUUCCUUCCUUCCUUCCUUCCUUCCUUCCUUCCUUUCUUCCUUCCUUCCUUCCUUCCUUCCUUUCUUUCUUCCUUUCUUUCUUUCUUUCUUUCCUUCUUUUUCUUCUCUUUCCUUCUUUCCUUCCUUCUUUCCUUCCUUCUUCCUUCCUUCCUUUCUUCCUUCCUUCCUUCCUUCCUUCCUUUCUUUCUUUCUUUCUUUCUUUCUUUCUUUCUUUCUUUCUUUCUUUCUUUCUUUCUUUCUUUCUUUCUUUCUUUCUUUCUUUCUUUCUUUCUUUCUUUCUUUCUUUCUUUCUUUCUUUCUUUCUUACUUUCUUUCUUUCUUUCUUUCCUUCUUUCUUUCUUUCUUUCCUUCUUUCUUUCUUUCUUUCUUUCCUUCUUUCUUUCUUUCUUUCUUUCUUUCUUUCUUUCUUUCUUUCUUUCUUUCUUUCUUUCUUUCUUUCUUUCUUUCUUUCUUUCUUUCUUUCUUUCUUUCUUUCUUUCUUUCUUUCUUUCUUUCUUUCUUUCUUUCUUUCUUUCUUUCUUUCUUUCUUUCUUUCUUUCUUUCUUUCUUUCUUUCUUUCUUCCUCUUUUCUUUCUUUCUUUCUUUCUUUCUUUCUUUCUUUCUUUCUUUCUUUCUUUCUUUCUUUCUUUCUUUCUUCUUUCUUUCUUUCUUUCUUUCUUUCUUUCUGACUCCACUUUCUCUCUCUCUAGUAUUAGCAGCAAUUCUAAUAUUGCUAUGAUGGAAACUGGCCUUCCCCAUCAUUAGCUAGAAUUGGUGAAGCCAGCCAAAGCAGUAAACAAGGGUUCUAGGCUUCACCAUUGGGACCCUUCAUGUGAGCUCAUCAUCCUCAAGUGAAUGUGGCAACAAGACUGUAUCCUCUUCAGCCAGAGGUCACUCAUUUGCUAGGAGCUGCCUUUUCCAGAGACUGAUUCCAAGGCCAGGGUUCCUUCUGCACACAUCAGGGCUCCAGUGGCAGGUCCUUUCCCAAGUGCAGCCCCUAAGGUCAAUGCGAGGCGAUUUUGAAGUGAAAGAAAAAAGCCAACUUCCCUGAUAAUUUGGGCCACCCUGAGGUGUGAUGGGACCUUGCAGGAAGAUGGGGGGGGGGCUGCCCUUCAUCAGAGCUCUUCUUCUCUUUUCUUUACACAUUGAUUUCAGGUAUGCAGUUCACAGGCAUAGGAUUGAGCCAAACUGGA